UACAGAGGGUGCAAGCGUUAAUCGGAGUUACUGGGCGUAAAGGGCGCGUAGGCGGUUAUACAAGUGAGAUGUGAAGUCCCCGGGCUUAACCUGGGAACUGCAUUUUAGACUGUAUAACUGGAGUACUGUAGAGGGCAGUGGAAUUUCCGGUGUAGCGGUGAAAUGCGUAGAGAUCGGAAGGAACAUCAGUGGCGAAGGCGACUGUCUGGACAGAUACUGACGCUGAGGCGCGAAAGCGUGGGGAGCAAACAGG
RNAcentral lists this ribosomal RNA (253 nucleotides) under uncultured bacterium. RNAcentral's name for it is "partial 16S ribosomal RNA". It matches the Rfam family "Bacterial small subunit ribosomal RNA", at positions 524 to 776 of the family's 1533-position model. The record is from RNAcentral.